RNAcentral lists this ribosomal RNA (465 nucleotides) under uncultured bacterium. Its description in RNAcentral is "partial 16S ribosomal RNA". It matches the Rfam family "Bacterial small subunit ribosomal RNA", at positions 28 to 507 of the family's 1533-position model. The record is from RNAcentral.
GACGAACGCUGGCGGCGUGCCUAACACAUGCAAGUCGAACGGAAAGGCCCUGCUUGCAGGGUACUCGAGUGGCGAACGGGUGAGUAACACGUGGGUGAUCUGCCCUGCACUUCGGGAUAAGCCUGGGAAACUGGGUCUAAUACCGGAUAGGAGCCAUUUUUAGUGUGAUGGUUGGAAAGUUUUUUCGGUGUAGGAUGAGCUCGCGGCCUAUCAGCUUGUUGGUGGGGUAAUGGCCUACCAAGGCGGCGACGGGUAGCCGGCCUGAGAGGGUGGACGGCCACAUUGGGACUGAGAUACGGCCCAGACUCCUACGGGAGGCAGCAGUGGGGAAUAUUGCACAAUGGGCGCAAGCCUGAUGCAGCGACGCCGCGUGGGGGAUGACGGCCUUCGGGUUGUAAACUCCUUUCGCUAGGGACGAAGCUUUUUGCGACGGUACCUAGAGAAGAAGCACCGGCUAACUACGUG